Molecule: ribosomal RNA, 696 nt
Filed under: uncultured bacterium
Lineage: Bacteria
Description: bacterial SSU rRNA
Rfam family: Bacterial small subunit ribosomal RNA
Source: RNAcentral
AACGCUAGCUACAGGCUUAACACAUGCAAGUCGAGGGGAAACGAUAGAGAAAGCUUGCUUUUUCUAGGCGUCGACCGGCGCACGGGUGAGUAACGCGUAUCCAACCUGCCCACCACUUGGGGAUAACCUUGCGAAAGUAAGACUAAUACCCAAUGACGUCUCUAGAAGACAUCUGAAAGGGAUUAAAGAUUUAUCGGUGAUGGAUGGGGAUGCGUCUGAUUAGCUUGUUGGCGGGGUAACGGCCCACCAAGGCGACGAUCGGUAGGGGUUCUGAGAGGAAGGUCCCCCACAUUGGAACUGAGACACGGUCCAAACUCCUACGGGAGGCAGCAGUGAGGAAUAUUGGUCAAUGGACGCAAGUCUGAACCAGCCAAGUAGCGUGCAGGAUGACGGCCCUAUGGGUUGUAAACUGCUUUUAUGCGGGGAUAAAGUGUGGGACGUGUCCCAUAUUGUAGGUACCGCAUGAAUAAGGACCGGCUAAUUCCGUGCCAGCAGCCGCGGUAAUACGGAAGGUCCGGGCGUUAUCCGGAUUUAUUGGGUUUAAAGGGAGCGUAGGCCGUCGUUUAAGCGUGUUGUGAAAUGCCGCGGCUCAACCGUGGCACUGCAGCGCGAACUGGAUGACUUGAGUUCGCGGGAGGUAGGCGGAAUUCGUGGUGUAGCGGUGAAAUGCUUAGAUAUCACGAAGAACUCCGAUUG